GGAAAUCAAGUCGAGAGUGAAAUCCAACGGCUCAACCGUUGAACUGCUCUCGAAACUGGUUACCUAGAAUAUGGGAGAGGUAGAUGGAAUUGGUGGUGUAGGGGUAAAAUCCGUAGAUAUCACCAGGAAUACCGAUUGCGAAGGCGAUCUACUGGAACAUUAUUGACGCUGAGGCAUGAAAGCGUGGGGAGCAAACAGGAUUAGAUACCCUGGUAGUCCACGCCCUAAACGAUGCACACUAGUUGUUGCGAUGCUAGUCAUUGCAGUAAUGCACUUAACAGAUUAAGUGUGCCGCCUGGGGAGUACGGUCGCAAGAUUAAAACUCAAAGGAAUAGACGGGGACCCGCACAAGCGGUGGAGCAUGUGGUUUAAUUCGAAGAUACACGAAGAACCUUACCUGGGCUUGAUAUCCUAAGAAUCCUGUAGAGAUAUGGGAGUGCUAGUUUACUAGAACUUAGAGACAGGUGCUGCACGGCUGUCGUCAGCUCGUGUCGUGAGAUGUUGGGUUAAGUCCCGCAACGAGCGCAACCCUCGUGAUUAGUUGCUAACAGUUCGGCUGAGCACUCUAAUCAGACUGCCUUCGCAAGGAGGAGGAAGGUGAGGACGACGUCAAGUCAUCAUGGCCCUUAUGCCCAGGGCUACACACGUGCUACAAUGGCUAGGACAAAGAGAAGCGAUACUGCGAAGUGGAGCAAAUCUUAAAACCUAGUCUCAGUUCGGAUUGGAGUCUGCAACUCGACUCCAUGAAGCUGGAAUCGCUAGUAAUCGUAGAUCAG
This 776-nucleotide ribosomal RNA is filed under the name uncultured Sulfurospirillum sp. Its description in RNAcentral is "bacterial SSU rRNA". It matches the Rfam family "Bacterial small subunit ribosomal RNA", at positions 578 to 1352 of the family's 1533-position model. Lineage: Bacteria; Pseudomonadati; Campylobacterota; Epsilonproteobacteria; Campylobacterales; Sulfurospirillaceae. The record is from RNAcentral.